RNAcentral lists this ribosomal RNA (497 nucleotides) under uncultured bacterium. RNAcentral describes it as "partial 16S ribosomal RNA". It matches the Rfam family "Bacterial small subunit ribosomal RNA", at positions 28 to 507 of the family's 1533-position model. The record is from RNAcentral.
GAUGAACGCUGGCGGCGUGCCUAAUACAUGCAAGUCGAGCGAACAGACGAGGAGCUUGCUCCUCUGACGUUAGCGGCGGACGGGUGAGUAACACGUGGAUAACCUACCUAUAAGACUGGGAUAACUUCGGGAAACCGGAGCUAAUACCGGAUAAUAUAUUGUACCGCAUGGUUCAAUAGUGAAAGACGGUUUUGCUGUCACUUAUAGAUGGAUCCGCGCCGCAUUAGCUAGUUGGUAAGGUAACGGCUUACCAAGGCAACGAUGCGUAGCCGACCUGAGAGGGUGAUCGGCCACACUGGAACUGAGACACGGUCCAGACUCCUACGGGAGGCAGCAGUAGGGAAUCCUCCGCAAUGGGCGAAAGCCUGACGGAGCAACGCCGCGUGAGUGAUGAAGGUCUUCGGAUCGUAAAACUCUGUUAUUAGGGAAGAACAAAUGUGUAAGUAACUAUGCACGUCUUGACGGUACCUAAUCAGAAAGCCACGGCUAACUACGUG